CAGUCGCCGCGGGAAUACGAAGGGGGCUAGCGUUGUUCGGAAUUACUGGGCGUAAAGCGCACGUAGGCGGAUAUUUAAGUCAGGGGUGAAAUCCCAGAGCUCAACUCUGGAACUGCCUUUGAUACUGGGUAUCUUGAGUAUGGAAGAGGUGAGUGGAAUUCCGAGUGUAGAGGUGAAAUUCGUAGAUAUUCGGAGGAACACCAGUGGCGAAGGCGGCUCACUGGUCCAUUACUGACGCUGAGGUGCGAAAGCGUGGGGAGCGAACAGGAUUAGAUACCCGUGUAGUCCCUGUCUCUUAUAC
RNAcentral lists this ribosomal RNA (301 nucleotides) under uncultured bacterium. Its description in RNAcentral is "partial 16S ribosomal RNA". It matches the Rfam family "Bacterial small subunit ribosomal RNA", at positions 509 to 807 of the family's 1533-position model. The record is from RNAcentral.